GGCGGGAUAGUUUAUAAUAGAAUGGGGGUCUUGUAAACUCUUGGUGCUUGUUAAGGGCUUCUGCUA
Molecule: transfer RNA, 66 nt
Filed under: Teredothyra matocotana
Lineage: Eukaryota; Metazoa; Mollusca; Bivalvia; Myida; Teredinidae
Description: tRNA-Thr
Source: RNAcentral